ACUCCUAAGGGAGGCAGCAGUGGGGAAUAUUGCACAAUGGGCGCAAGCCUGAUGCAGCCAUGCCGCGUGUAUGAAGAAGGCCUUCGGGUUGUAAAGUACUUUCAGCGAGGAGGAAGGCAUUAAGGUUAAUAACCUUAGUGAUUGACGUUACUCGCAGAAGAAGCACCGGCUAACUCCGUGCCAGCAGCCGCGGUAAUA
Molecule: ribosomal RNA, 198 nt
Filed under: bacterium enrichment culture DGGE band X2
Lineage: Bacteria
Description: partial 16S ribosomal RNA
Rfam family: Bacterial small subunit ribosomal RNA
Source: RNAcentral